Molecule: ribosomal RNA, 468 nt
Filed under: uncultured bacterium
Lineage: Bacteria
Description: partial 16S ribosomal RNA
Rfam family: Bacterial small subunit ribosomal RNA
Source: RNAcentral
GACGAACGCUGGCGGCGUGCUUAACACAUGCAAGUCGAACGGAAAGGCCCUGCUUUUGUGGGGUGCUCGAGUGGCGAACGGGUGUGUAACAUGUGAGUAACCUGCCCUUGACUUUGGGAUAACUUCAGGAAACUGGGGCUAAUACCGGAUAGGAGCUCCUGCUGCAUGGUGGUGGUUGGACAGUUUCGGCGGUAGGGGAUGGACUCGCGGCUUAUCAGCUUGUUGGUGGGGUAGUGGCUUACCAAGGCUUUGACGGAUAGCCGGCCUGAGAGGGUGACCAGCGACAUUGGGACUGAGAGACGGAGCAGACUCGUACGGGAGGCAGCAGUGGGGAAUAUUGCACAAUGGGGGGGAGCCUGAUGAGGCAGCGCCCCGUGCGGGAAGACGGCCUUCGGGUUGUAAACCGCUUUCGCCUGUGACGAAGCGUGAGUGACGGUAAUGGGUAAAGAAGCACCGGCUAACUAUGUG